Molecule: ribosomal RNA, 497 nt
Filed under: uncultured bacterium
Lineage: Bacteria
Description: bacterial SSU rRNA
Rfam family: Bacterial small subunit ribosomal RNA
Source: RNAcentral
UGGGGGAAACCCUGAUGCAGCAACGCCGCGUGAAGGAUGAAGGUCUUCGGAUUGUAAACUUCUUUGAUGAGGGACGAAAAAAAUGACGGUACCUCAAAAACAAGCCACGGCUAACUACGUGCCAGCAGCCGCGGUAAUACGUAGGUGGCAAGCGUUGUCCGGAAUUAUUGGGCGUAAAGGGCGCGUAGGCGGUUCCUUAAGUCAGAUGUGAAAUCCCGGGGCUUAACUUCGGGCGUGCAUUUGAAACUGGGGAACUAGAGUGCAGGAGAGGUAAGUGGAAUUCCUAGUGUAGCGGUGAAAUGCGUAGAUAUUAGGAGGAACACCAGUGGCGAAGGCGACUUACUGGACUGUAACUGACGCUGAGGCGCGAAAGCGUGGGGAGCAAACAGGAUUAGAUACCCUGGUAGUCCACGCUGUAAACGAUGGAUACUAGGUGUGGGAGGUAUCGACCCCUUCCGUGCCGCAGUAAACGCAAUAAGUAUCCCGCCUGGGGAGUA